Molecule: ribosomal RNA, 377 nt
Filed under: uncultured bacterium
Lineage: Bacteria
Description: bacterial SSU rRNA
Rfam family: Bacterial small subunit ribosomal RNA
Source: RNAcentral
UAAUACGUAGGGGGCUAGCGUUGUCCGGAAUCAUUGGGCGUAAAGAGCGUGUAGGCGGCCCGGUAAGUCCGCUGUGAAAGUCGGGGGCUCAACCCUCGAAUGCCGGUGGAUACUGUCGGGCUAGAGUGCGGAAGAGGCGAGUGGAAUUCCUGGUGUAGCGGUGAAAUGCGCAGAUAUCAGGAGGAACACCAAUUGCGAAGGCAGCUCGCUGGGACGUAACUGACGCUGAGACGCGAAAGCGUGGGGAGCAAACAGGAUUAGAUACCCUGGUAGUCCACGCUGUAAACGAUGGGCACUAGGUGUGGGGGGUGUCGACUCCCUCCGUGCCGAAGCUAACGCAUUAAGUGCCCCGCCUGGGGAGUACGGCCGCAAGGCUA